GAUGAACGCUAGCGGCAGGCUUAACACAUGCAAGUCGAGGGGCAGCACGUCUUCGGAUGGUGGCGACCGGCGCACGGGUGCGUAACGCGUAUAGAACCUACCUUUUACAGGGGAAUAGCCCAGAGAAAUUUGGAUUAAUGCCCCAUAGUAUUAUUAGAUGGCAUCAUUUGAUAAUUAAACAUUUAUGGGUAAAAGAAUGGCUAUGCGUUCUAUUAGCUAGAUGGUAAGGUAACGGCUUACCAUGGCGACGAUAGAUAGGGGUCCGUGAGAGGGAGGAUCCCCCACCACUGGUACUGAGACACGGACCAGACUCCUACGGGAGGGCAGCAGUGA
RNAcentral lists this ribosomal RNA (333 nucleotides) under uncultured bacterium. RNAcentral's name for it is "bacterial SSU rRNA". It matches the Rfam family "Bacterial small subunit ribosomal RNA", at positions 28 to 357 of the family's 1533-position model. The record is from RNAcentral.